CUGCCUUGCAUGUACUUUAUGGUUUCACCACCCUUGCCAAUGAGCAAUCCAACCUUGUCAUUAGGGACUUUCAUUGCAAACUGUUCAGCUCCAGAUUGCUUUGUAUUUAAUCCAUGAACUGCAGAUGAGCCAGAGCCCCCUACAUCUGUCUCUGUAAUCACAUCAUUGAUCAGUUCUUCAGCCCUGCUAAUUUGUUCUGAAGUACCCAUCAGCUCCACAUCCCUUGUUAGAGAAUGGGGAUUAGCAUCUUGGUCCUUGGUAAUCUGAAUUUUAGCCCCUGACUGAAGUUGAAUAUGUUUUAUUGUUUCUCCUCCUUUCCCUAUAACCACACCAACCUUGCCAUUAGGAAUUGUAAUUUUCUUACUUGUGCCUUGUGAAUACAGACUUGGUUGGGCAACAAAG
This 402-nucleotide unclassified non-coding RNA is filed under the name Hevea brasiliensis (rubber tree). The record is from RNAcentral. Lineage: Eukaryota; Viridiplantae; Streptophyta; Magnoliopsida; Malpighiales; Euphorbiaceae.